RNAcentral lists this ribosomal RNA (458 nucleotides) under uncultured Allobrachymonas sp. RNAcentral's name for it is "bacterial SSU rRNA". It matches the Rfam family "Bacterial small subunit ribosomal RNA", at positions 919 to 1382 of the family's 1533-position model. Lineage: Bacteria; Pseudomonadati; Pseudomonadota; Betaproteobacteria; Burkholderiales; Comamonadaceae. The record is from RNAcentral.
ACCCGCACAAGCGGUGGAUGAUGUGGUUUAAUUCGAUGCAACGCGAAAACCUUACCCACCUUUGACAUGGCAGGAAUCCCGAAGAGAUUUGGGAGUGCUCGAAAGAGAACCUGCACACAGGUGCCGCAUGGCUGUCGUCAGCUCGUGUCGUGAGAUGUUGGGUUAAGUCCCGCAACGAGCGCAACCCUUGCCAUUAGUUGCUACGAAAGGGCACUCUAAUGGGACUGCCGGUGACAAACCGGAGGAAGGUGGGGAUGACGUCAAGUCCUCAUGGCCCUUAUAGGUGGGGCUACACACGUCAUACAAUGGCCGGUACAGAGGGUAGCCAACCCGCGAGGGGGAGCCAAUCCCACAAAGCCGGUCGUAGUCCGGAUCGCAGUCUGCAACUCGACUGCGUGAAGUCGGAAUCGCUAGUAAUCGCGGAUCAGCAUGUCGCGGUGAAUACGUUCCCGGGUCUU